GAGCGAGUACAGCGGCACACGGGUGAGUAACACGUAGGUAAUCUGCCCUCGAGCCUGGAAUAACCUACCGAAAGGUGGGCUAAUACCGGAUAUGACCACGGAAGUUUCGGCUUCUGCGGUGAAAGGUGGCCUCUACUUGUAAGCUACCACUCAAGGAUGAGCCUGCGUACCAUUAGCUAGUUGGUGGGGUAAUGGCUCACCAAGGCUAUGAUGGUUAGCUGGUCUGAGAGGAUGGCCAGCCACACUGGGACUGAAACACGGCCCAGACUCCUACGGGAGGCAGCAGUGGGGGAUAUUGCGCAAUGGGCGAAAGCCUGACGCAGCGACGUCGCGUGGGUGAUGAAGGCCUUCGGGUCGUAAAGCCCUGUCGAGGGGGAAGAAUCGGUUGCGACCUAACACGUCGUGAUCCUGACGGUACCCCUAAAGGAAGCACCGGCUAACUCCGUGCCAGCAGCCGCGGUAAUACGGAGGGUGCGAGCGUUGUUCGGAAUCACUGGGCGUAAAGCGCGUGUAGGCGGCCCACUAAGUCUGAUGUGAAAGCCCGGGGCUCACCCCCGGAAGUGCAUUGGAAACUGGUGGACUCGAGUCCCGGAGAGGAGAGUGGAAUUCCUGGUGUAGCGGUGAAAUGCGUAGAUAUCAGGAGGAACACCGGUGGCGAAGGCGGCUCUCUGGACGGUGACUGACGCUGAGACGCGAAAGCGUGGGGAGCAAACAGGAUUAGAUACCCUGGUAGUCCACGCCGUAAACGAUGAGCACUAGGUGUCGCGGGUAUUGACCCCUGCGGUGCCGACGCUAACGCAUUAAGUGCUCCGCCUGGGGAAUACGGCCGCAAGGU
Molecule: ribosomal RNA, 835 nt
Filed under: uncultured bacterium
Lineage: Bacteria
Description: bacterial SSU rRNA
Rfam family: Bacterial small subunit ribosomal RNA
Source: RNAcentral